UUCAUAACUAUUACCCGUUAUUCGUUCUGCAUCUCUUCAAUGAUCCUGAUAUUUGCAUGUCUCAGUAAUCGAUGCCACACAUUUUUCUUCAUUAAUUCGUGUGCUGCAUCGUAUAUAUUUCCUGAUUCCACAUAAUAUGCAUUUCCUCUUCUCACUGCUUCUAAUAAAACUUCUCCAUUUCCUUUAUAUACUUCAGCUUCAUCUUUCUGAAGCCUAACAUAUUAGUUGUGGACAUCGACUUUGUCGACUCACAUCAAUAUUUAUUCAGAUCAGGGACACAACAUGCCUUUGAAUAUCACUGUAUUCUCUAUAUCUUGUUGUUAUAAGAGAACAUCACCUAGAGGAAUAAUAUUCCUUUGUUCUCUGUCAAACCCGUCUUCCUUUCUCAGUCUUUAUUUUACCACUGAAUAUUUUUGUCACUCGUGUCAUAUGGCUAAUCGCCCUAGAAUCCAAUGGACAUAUCAUACGUUACGUAUUUGUAUUAUUGCUUCUAGGUUCUCUGGCCAAAAAAAUAAUUCUUGGCACGUAUUUUCAACUUCUUGACAAAUUGAUUUCCUUCACUCUCCAAUCGUCAGCAGCAGUUGAAACGUACCUUUUACCUCCAUUUGGACAUUGGGUUUAUUGGCCCAAUCAAGUCCAUGUGUCAGCCCCAUUAUUCUUGCUACUUUUAUAGUUUCCAAGUUUCUAUUCAUAUUUCUAUAGGUUUUUGCCUUAAUGCAACAUUUAUACUCUAUAUUCAACUUUACCUUUCAUAACUAUUACCAAUUAGUCGUACUCUAUAUCUUCAAUGAUCCUAAUAUUUGCAUGACUCAGUCAUCGAUGCCACACAUCUUUCAUUGUCAAUCCGUGUGCUGCAUCGUAUGUUUCCUGAUUCUACAAUAGUCGUGGUCAUCGACUUUGUCCACUGAUAUCAAUAUUUAUUCAGAUCAGGGACACAACAUGCCUUUGAAUCUCACUGUAUUCUCUAUAUCUUGUUGUUAUAAGAGAACAUCACCUAGAGGAACAUUAUUUCUUUCUUCCCUGUCAAACCCGUCUUCCUUUCUCAGUCUUUAUUUUACCACUGAAUAUUUUUGUCACUCGUGUCAUAUGGCUAAUCGCCCUAGAAUCCAAUGGACAUAUCAUACGUUACGUAUUUGUAUUAUUGCUUCUAGGUUCUCUGGCCAAAAAAAUAAUUCUUGGCAUGUACUAAUUUUACGCCAGUGAUAUUCUACGAGUCCAAUAUUUUUCUCCUACUGCCCGCGUCUGUUUAUUACAACAGAAUAUUGUAUUUUCACAACCAAGCUCUGCUAUUACUAAUGGAAGAUGGAGAAAUAAUGGCUUAUAUCGUACACGAUGUAUUUACAUCUGAAGGUUAUGUUAAUACAAAGACUUACAUUCUUUUGUGUGAUAUUUUAUAUGUCCAAUAUUUUUCUCCUUCUACACGUGUCUGUUUAUUACAACAGAAUAUUGUCUUUUUACAACCAAGCUCUGCUAUCACUAAUGAUAAAUGGAGAAAUAAUGGCUUAUAUCGUACACUAUGUAUUUGCAACUGAAGGUUAUGUUAAUACAAAUACUUACAUUCUUUCGUGAGAUAUUCUACAAGUCCAAUAUUUUUCCCCUCCUGCUCGUGUCUGUUUAUUACAACAGAAUAUUGUCUUUUCACAACCAAGCUCUGCUAUCACUGAUGAAGGAUGGAGAAAUAAUGGCCUAUAUCGUACAUUCUAUGUAUUUACAACUGAUGGUUAUGUUAAUACAAAUACUUACAUUCAUUCGUGAGAUAUUCUACAAGUCCAAUAUAUUUCCCCUACUGCACGUGUCUGUUUAUUACAACAGAAUAUUGUCUUUUCACAACCAAGCUCUGCUAUCACUGAUGAAGGAUGGAGAAAUAAUGGCCUAUAUCGUACAUUCUAUGUAUUUACAACUGAAGGUUAUGUUAAUACAAAUACUUACAUUCAUUCGUGAGAUAUUCUACAAGUCCAAUAUAUUUCCCCUACUGCACGUGUCUGUUUAUUACAACAGAAUAUUGUCUUUUCACAACCAAGCUCUGCUAUCACUGAUGAAGGAUGGAGAAAUAAUGGCCUAUAUCGUACAUUCUAUGUAUUUACAACUGAAGGUUAUGUUAAUACAAAUACUUACAUUCAUUCGUGAGAUAUUCUACAAGUCCAAUAUAUUUCCCCUACUGCACGUGUCUGUUUAUUACAACAGAAUAUUGUCUUUUCACAACCAAGCUCUGCUAUCACUGAUGAAGGAUGGAGAAAUAAUGGCCUAUAUCGUACAUUCUAUGUAUUUACAACUGAAGGUUAUGUUAAUACAAAUACUUACAUUCAUUCGUGAGAUAUUCUACAAGUCCAAUAUAUUUCCCCUACUGCACGUGUCUGUUAAUUAAAACAGAAUAUUGUCUUUUCACAACCUUGCUCCGCUAUUACUAAUGAAAGGUGGAAAAAUAAUCGCUUAUAUCGUACACUAUGUAUUUACAACCGAAGGUUAUGUUAAUACAAAUACUUACAUUCUUUCGUGUGAUGGUCUACAAGUCCAAUAUUUUUCUCCUCCUACACGUGUCUGUUUAUUACAACAUAAUAUUGUCUUUUUACAACCAAGUUCUGCUAUCACUAAUGGAAGAUGGAGAAAUAAUGGCCUAUAUCUUACACUAUAUAUUUACAACUAAAGGUUAUGUUAAUACAAAUACUUACAUUCUUUCGUGUGAUAUUCUGCAGGUCCAAUAUUUUUCCCCUACUACACGUGUCUGUUUAUUGCAACAAAAUAUUCUCUUUUCACAACCUGACUGCGCUAUCACUAAAGAAAGGUGGAAAAAUAAUGGGCUAUAUCGUACACUAUGUAUUUACAACUGAUGGUUAUGUUAAUACAAAUACUUACAUUCUUUCGUGUGAUAUUCUGCAGGUCCAAUAUUUUUCCCCUACUACACUUGUCUGUUUAUUGCAACAAAAUAUUCUCUUUUCACAACCUGACUGCGCUAUCACUAAUGAAAGGUACAAUAUUUUUCCCCUGCUGCACGUGUCUCUUUAUUUCAACAGAAUAUUGUCUUUUUACAACCAAGCUCUGCUAUCACUAAUGAAAGAUGGAGAAAUGGUGGCUUAUAUCUUAUAUUAUAUAUUUACAACUGAAGGUUAUGUUAAUACAAAUACUUACAUUCUUACGUGUGAUGCAGGCACACUUUUAUGGACACAGCAAUGCUUGUCGCGCCAUUUUGCAAUCUUUUUCUCAUUUCCUCCGCAUAUUUCUGGUCGCGCGGAGAAGAAUGAUCAAAUUACUCAAUUUUUGUGAUUAAUUUAUGAACUUUUAUAAUCGCAUGGUAAAAUUUCAAAAAUGUAAGCGAUAAAGUCAACAACGCACUACGUUCCAACAAGGGAUUACAUUUCCGCCACUAUAUUUCGCAAUUGAAUGGUGAAAAUGGAGAAAAAAUUAGCUCACUGAUUAGAGCAGAACCUAUUCUAUGCUAGUGAAUCGAAAUAUUCCAAUCAACAAGCGAAAUUUAGAAUAUAUUAGCGAUAAAAUGUAAGGAUGCUGCACGUUCUGACAAACUCUUGCACUUUUGUGAGUCUAUUUCGCAAUUGAACUGUCAAAAUCGAAGAAAAAUUGGGAAAACUAUUAAAAACGUGCCUAUUCCGAGCAAGGUUGAUCAAAUAUCCCAAUGGACAAUCGAAAUCUAGAAUCUACAGUCGAUGGUAUGUGAUUAUGCUCAUGUGUUAUACGAUUCGCACUCACACCGCUUUAUUUCGCACAUGUAUUGUUAUACGAUUUGCAUUAUGUAACAUCACUUCGUUCCACGCGUAUAUUACAAAUGUUGGUACCUAAAUAUCCUGAUCUCGGUACAAUUCUCUCAAUUUCUUAAACUUGUGUUGUGGUCCAUUCGUAAAUAUUACGGCAGUGUUGCAAACAUAACCUACAAUUGCAAUGUUACGAACUAAUAACCGAUACCGUGCAUUAUUGUUCUUGAAUAUUUCUUUCGUCGAUUGCAGUCAUUAAAACAUUAGUUUGUGAUAGUAUUACUUCACGAAACGUUUUAGGAGAUACUGAAUGUUUCACUUUUAUCACGGGGAUUAUUGUGACAAUAAGAAAAUAAAAUAGAAGAACGAA
Molecule: long non-coding RNA, 4074 nt
Organism: Eufriesea mexicana
Lineage: Eukaryota; Metazoa; Arthropoda; Insecta; Hymenoptera; Apidae
Exons: 2
Source: RefSeq, a predicted model, not a curated record